Molecule: ribosomal RNA, 497 nt
Filed under: uncultured bacterium
Lineage: Bacteria
Description: partial 16S ribosomal RNA
Rfam family: Bacterial small subunit ribosomal RNA
Source: RNAcentral
GAUGAACGCUGGCGGCGUGCCUAAUACAUGCAAGUCGAGCGAACGGACGAGAAGCUUGCUUCUCUGAUGUUAGCGGCGGACGGGUGAGUAACACGUGGAUAACCUACCUAUAAAACUGGGAUAACUUCGGGAAACCGGAGCUAAUACCGGAUAAUAUUUUGAACCGCAUGGUUCAAAAGUGAAAGACGGUCUUGCUGUCACUUAUAGAUGGAUCCGCGCUGCAUUAGCUAGUUGGUAAGGUAACGGCUUACCAAGGCAACGAUGCAUAGCCGACCUGAGAGGGUGAUCGGCCACACUGGAACUGAGACACGGUCCAGACUCCUACGGGAGGCAGCAGUAGGGAAUCUUCCGCAAUGGGCGAAAGCCUGACGGAGCAACGCCGCGUGAGUGAUGAAGGUCUUCGGAUCGUAAAACUCUGUUAUUAGGGAAGAACAUAUGUGUAAGUAACUGUGCACAUAUUGACGGUACCUAAUCAGAAAGCCACGGCUAACUACGUG